CUUUUUAUUAAUUUUUUUAAAAAUGAAAUAUUAUUAUUUUUUAAUGUUUUUUAUCACAAAUUAUGAAAACCUUGCAGGCUACAUAAUUUGUGAUACACAAUGGCUUGGCAGGCCAUCUUUUGGACAGCUGUUCUAAAAUAUCUUCCAGAAAUAAAUGAAAUUAUAUCCUCAGAGACUUAGCACACUAAUUUGUUAUUACUCUUACUUUAUGCUUAAAGCAAAAUAUUAUAAGCAAUUAUAUGGAGUACAAUCAGCAGCCCCAUGGCAGAAGUAUUAACAGAAAUCUUGAUUAGAAAUGCAGAAAAUAAGAUACUAAUAUAUUUUAUGUCAAAGUGUAAGAUUUAUUACAGAUAUGUAGAUGACAACUUUAUAGUAUGGAAAAAUAUGGAUAAAACUAAUAAAUUAGAGCAGAUCUUCAUGGAUGAUACAUAUGGUUUAGUGCUGAAGAUAGAACAAGUUGACAUGCAGAGCAUACACUUCUUAGAUGUCCUAUUACAAGUUAAAUAAAAUUUGUAUAGCACUAAAGUGUACAGGAAACCAACAUUUAGUCCUGUAUUGAUUCCAUUUUGGUUGAACCAUCUGAUUAGCUAUAAGAAGUUAGCCUUCUAUUCAUAUUUUAGAAAGAAUAUCAUGAAUUGCAGUGAAUUGGAAGAGAGAGAAGGUGAAGUAAAUAUGAUUCUAGAAUAUGGUAGAAGACAAGGUUAUAAAAAUAAUUUUAUAUCAGUAUAUAAAAAGUAUUUAAAGAUAUGAUUGGACAGGAAGAGGAUUUACCUACACACCAGUGUGCUCUAGAGAAUACAUCAGGGGUCUGUACAAAGUUCAUAUCUUAAAAUCCCUUUCUGUAUGAGUAUGUAUAGAACAAUUAAAAAUAUAAUAAGACUGGUAAAAAGAUAGCAUAUAAAAGAGAUCUUCACCAUCAGGAUAGACUAUUUGAAUGUAAUACAGAAUAUCUGAAUAUGAGUGAUAUUAGACAUGGAAGAUUAAUAACUGCAUUAGUAAAGAGAUUCUAUGAAAAUAAUAAUGCAAUAGAGAGAGAGAAGAGGUGAAAAUAAUUAGAGAAUAGGCACAAAAUUACUUAAUGAGAUGUUAGAAAUCAUUAAAAGGGAAGUGAUAUGGAAAUAUAAUCAAUGAUUAACUGACUUAAGGAUAUCUUUAGUGCAUGGAAAUAUGCAGUUCAAGAAAUCAGAUUAAAAAGUUAAAUAUAGAUUUAACUCCAUCAAAAG
Molecule: long non-coding RNA, 1223 nt
Filed under: Androctonus crassicauda
Lineage: Eukaryota; Metazoa; Arthropoda; Arachnida; Scorpiones; Buthidae
Source: RNAcentral